GAUGAACGCUGGCGGCGUGCCUAACACAUGCAAGUCGAGCGGAAACGAUCCUAGCUUGCUAGGAGGCGUCGAGCGGCGGACGGGUGAGUAACGCGUGAGAAUCUACCCAUGAGUGGGGGACAACCCGGGGAAACUCGGGCUAAUACCGCAUACGCCCUACGGGGUAAAGCAGGGGACCUUCGGGCCUUGCGCUGAUGGAUGAGCUCGCGUCGGAUUAGCUUGUUGGUGAGGUAAAGGCUCACCAAGGCGACGAUCCGUAGCUGGUCUGAGAGGAUGAUCAGCCACACCGGGACUGAGACACGGCCCGGACUCCUACGGGAGGCAGCAGUGGGGAAUCUUGGACAAUGGGGGCAACCCUGAUCCAGCCAUGCCGCGUGUGUGAAGAAGGCCUUCGGGUUGUAAAGCACUUUCAGCAGGGAGGAAGGCUUACCCCUAAUACGGGUGAGUACUUGACGUUACCUGCAGAAGAAGCACCGGCUAAUUUCGUG
RNAcentral lists this ribosomal RNA (488 nucleotides) under uncultured bacterium. RNAcentral's name for it is "bacterial SSU rRNA". It matches the Rfam family "Bacterial small subunit ribosomal RNA", at positions 28 to 507 of the family's 1533-position model. The record is from RNAcentral.